RNAcentral lists this long non-coding RNA (469 nucleotides) under Mytilus galloprovincialis (Mediterranean mussel). The record is from RNAcentral. Lineage: Eukaryota; Metazoa; Mollusca; Bivalvia; Mytilida; Mytilidae.
UGUCCAUAGUACACGGAUGCCCCACUCGCACUAUCAUUUUCUAUGUUCAGUGGACCGUGAAAAUUGGGGUUAAACCUUUAAUUUGGAAUUAAAAUUAGAAAAAUCAUAUCAUAGGGAACAUGUAUACUAAGUUUCAAGUUGAUGUAACUUUAACUUCAUCAAAAACUACCUUGACCAAAAACUUUAACCUGAACUUCGCACUAUCAUUUUCUAUGUUCAGUGGACCACAAAAUUGGGGUCAAAACUAUAACUUGGCAUUAAACUUAGAAAGAUCAUAUCAUGGGGAACAUGUGUACUAAGUUUCAAGUUGAUUGGACUUCAACUUCUUCAAAAACUACCUUGACCAAAAACUUUAACCUGAAGCGAACGGAGGCACAGACGGACGGACGAACGAACGAACGGAGGCACAGACCAGAAAACAUAAUGCCCCUCUACUAUCGUAGGUGGGGCAUAAAAACAACCACUGAAC